This 301-nucleotide ribosomal RNA is filed under the name uncultured bacterium. RNAcentral's name for it is "partial 16S ribosomal RNA". It matches the Rfam family "Bacterial small subunit ribosomal RNA", at positions 509 to 807 of the family's 1533-position model. The record is from RNAcentral.
CAGUAGCCGCGGUAAUACAGAGGGUGCAAGCGUUAAUCGGAAUUACUGGGCGUAAAGCGCGCGUAGGUGGUUUGUUAAGUUGGAUGUGAAAUCCCCGGGCUCAACCUGGGAACUGCAUCCAAAACUGGCAAGCUAGAGUAUGGUAGAGGGUGGUGGAAUUUCCUGUGUAGCGGUGAAAUGCGUAGAUAUAGGAAGGAACACCAGUGGCGAAGGCGACCACCUGGACUAAUACUGACACUGAGGUGCGAAAGCGUGGGGAGCAAACAGGAUUAGAUACCCCAGUAGUCCCUGUCUCUUAUAC